This 1200-nucleotide ribosomal RNA is filed under the name bacterium. RNAcentral describes it as "bacterial SSU rRNA". It matches the Rfam family "Bacterial small subunit ribosomal RNA", at positions 169 to 1350 of the family's 1533-position model. The record is from RNAcentral.
CCCCAUACGAUCCAAUGACGACGGUCAUUGGAUGAAAGGGGCGUUUCGCCUCGCCGAGGGAUGAGCCCGCGGCCCAUCAGGUAGUUGGUGGGGUAAUGGCCCACCAAGCCUACGACGGGUAGCUGGCCUGAGAGGGUGGUCGGCCACAAGGGCACUGAGACACGGGCCCUACUCCUACGGGAGGCAGCAGUGGGGAAUCUUGGACAAUGGGCGAAAGCCUGAUCCAGCGACGCCGCGUGGGGGACGAAGCCCUUCGGGGUGUAAACCCCUGUUGCGAGGGAGGAAUAAGACCUGGAGGAAAUGCCAGGUCGAUGACUGUACCUCGCGAGAAAGCCCCGGCUAACUACGUGCCAGCAGCCGCGGUAAUACGUAGGGGGCGAGCGUUACCCGGAUUCACUGGGCGUAAAGGGGGUGUAGGCGGCUCGGUAAGUCGGGUGUGAAAUCCCACGGCUCAACCGUGGAAUUGCGCCCGAAACUGCCGAGCUUGGGGCCGGUAGAGGGAGACGGAACUGCCGGUGUAGGGGUGAAAUCCGUAGAUAUCGGCAGGAACGCCGGUGGGGAAGCCGGUCUCCUGGGCCGCGCCCGACGCUGAGGCCCGAAAGCUAGGGGAGCAAACCGGAUUAGAUACCCGGGUAGUCCUAGCCGUAAACGAUGCCCACUAGGUGUGGGGGAGUAUUUCCUCCGUGCUGUAGCUAACGCGUUAAGUGGGCCGCCUGGGGAGUACGCCCGCAAGGGUGAAACUCAAAGGAAUUGGCGGGACCCCGCACAAGCGGUGGAGCGCGUGGUUUAAUUGGAUGCUGAGCCAAGAACCUUACCAGGGCUUGACAUGCAGGUGGUACCGACCCGAAAGGGGAGGGACCCCAUCCUUUUGGGUGGGGAGCCUGCACAGGUGGUGCACGGCCGUCGUCAGCUCGUGCCGUGAGGUGUUGGGUUAAGUCCCGCAACGAGCGCAACCCCUGCCCUUAGUUGCCAUCGGUUCGGCCGGGCACUCUAAGGGGACUGCCGGCGACGAGCCGGAGGAAGGAGGGGACGACGUCAGGUACUCGUGCCCUUUAUGCCCUGGGCUACACACGCGCUACAAUGGGUGGUACAGUGGGUUGCGACCCCGCGAGGGGGAGCCAAUCCCUAAAACCACCCCCAGUUCGGAUCGCAGGCUGCAACCCGCCUGCGUGAAGCCGGAAUCGCUAGUAAUCGCGGAUC